Molecule: ribosomal RNA, 626 nt
Filed under: uncultured marine archaeon
Lineage: Archaea
Description: bacterial SSU rRNA
Rfam family: Archaeal small subunit ribosomal RNA
Source: RNAcentral
UUGAUACUAAGCCAUGCAAGUCAUUGUAGCAAUACAAGGCAUACGGCUCAGUAACGCGUAGUCAACCUAACCUAUGGACGGGAAUAACCUCGGGAAACUGAGAAUAAUGCCCGAUAGAACAUUAUGCCUGGAAUGGUUUAUGUUCCAAAUGAUUUAUCGCCGUAGGAUGGGACUGCGGCCUAUCAGUUUGUUGGUGAGGUAAUGGCCCACCAAGACUAUUACAGGUACGGGCUCUGAGAGGAGUAGCCCGGAGAUGGGUACUGAGACACGGACCCAGGCCCUAUGGGGCGCAGCAGGCGAGAAAACUUUGCAAUGUGCGAAAGCACGACAAGGUUAAUCCGAGUGGUUUCUGCUAAAGGAACCUUUUGUCAGUCCUAGAAACACUGAUGAAUAAGGGGUGGGCAAGUUCUGGUGUCAGCCGCCGCGGUAAAACCAGCACCUCAAGUGGUCAGGAUGAUUAUUGGGCCUAAAGCAUCCGUAGCCGGCUCUGUAAGUUUUCGGUUAAAUCUGUACGCUCAACGUACAGGCUGCCGGGAAUACUGCAAAGCUAGGGAGUGGGAGAGGUAGACGGUACUCGGUAGGAAGGGGUAAAAUCCUUUGAUCUAUUGAUGACCACCUGUGGCGAA